This 27-nucleotide small RNA is filed under the name Bombyx mori (domestic silkworm). Its description in RNAcentral is "ovarian small RNA-13049". Lineage: Eukaryota; Metazoa; Arthropoda; Insecta; Lepidoptera; Bombycidae. The record is from RNAcentral.
CACUAUGCGAUAGCGUAGGUUUCGGCG